ACCUGGCUGGCUCAUUCAGUAGAGCACAUGACUCUUAAUUUUGGGUUCAUGAGUUGUCACCCCAUGUUGGGUA
Molecule: transfer RNA, 73 nt
Filed under: Canis lupus familiaris (dog)
Lineage: Eukaryota; Metazoa; Chordata; Mammalia; Carnivora; Canidae
Also listed under: 2 other names
Rfam family: tRNA
About the family: Transfer RNA (tRNA) molecules are approximately 80 nucleotides in length. Their secondary structure includes four short double-helical elements and three loops (D, anti-codon, and T loops).
Source: Rfam by way of RNAcentral